AUACCACUUGUUGCCUCGGCGGAUCAGCCCGCUCCCGGUAAAACGGGACGGCCCGCCAGAGGACCCCUAAACUCUGUUUCUAUAUGUAACUUCUGAGUAAAACCAUAAAUAAAUCAAAACUUUCAACAACGGAUCUCUUGGUUCUGGCAUCGAUGAAGAACGCAGCAAAAUGCGAUAAGUAAUGUGAAUUGCAGAAUUCAGUGAAUCAUCGAAUCUUUGAACGCACAUUGCGCCCGCCAGUAUUCUGGCGGGCAUGCCUGUUCGAGCGUCAUUUCAACCCUCAAGCACAGCUUGGUGUUGGGACUCGCGUUAAUUCGCGUUCCUCAAAUUGAUUGGCGGUCACGUCGAGCUUCCAUAGCGUAGUAGUAAAACCCUCGUUACUGGUAAUCGUCGCGGCCACGCCGUUAAACCCCAACUUCUGAAUGUUGACCUCGGAUCAGGUAGGAAUACCCGCUGAACUUAAGCAUAUC
Molecule: ribosomal RNA, 470 nt
Filed under: Fusarium oxysporum
Lineage: Eukaryota; Fungi; Ascomycota; Sordariomycetes; Hypocreales; Nectriaceae
Description: eukaryotic LSU rRNA
Rfam family: 5.8S ribosomal RNA (bases 118-271)
Source: RNAcentral